RNAcentral lists this ribosomal RNA (400 nucleotides) under uncultured bacterium. RNAcentral describes it as "bacterial SSU rRNA". It matches the Rfam family "Bacterial small subunit ribosomal RNA", at positions 357 to 774 of the family's 1533-position model. The record is from RNAcentral.
GGGAAUUUUGGGCAAUGGGCGAAAGCCUGACCCAGCAACGCCGCGUGAGGGAUGAAGUAUUUCGGUAUGUAAACCUCGAAAGAAUGGGAAGAAUAAAUGACGGUACCAUUUAUAAGCUCCGGCUAACUACGUGCCAGCAGCCGCGGUAAUACGUAGGGAGCAAGCGUUGUUCGGAUUUACUGGGCGUAAAGGGCGCGUAGGCGGCGCGGUAAGUCACUUGUGAAAUCUCUGAGCUUAACUCAGAACGGCCAAGUGAUACUGCUGUGCUAGAGUGCGGAAGAGGCAACCGGAAUUCUUGGUGUAGCGGUGGAAUGCGUAGAUAUCAAGAGGAACACCUGAGGCGAAGGCGGGUUGCUGGGCCGACACUGACGCUGAUGCGCGAAAGCCAGGGGAGCAAACG